This 993-nucleotide long non-coding RNA is filed under the name Equus asinus (donkey). RNAcentral's name for it is "lncRNA (ENSEASG00005024121.1)". The record is from RNAcentral. Lineage: Eukaryota; Metazoa; Chordata; Mammalia; Perissodactyla; Equidae.
UUAGUUUAAUCACGCCUGCCAAUUUCCUUCUGCCAUUUCAAGUAACAAAUUCGCAGGUUCUGGGGAUUAAGGCAUGAACAUCUUUGGGAGAAAAUUCACCAAGAUUCAGCUGAGCACACGACUACUCAGCUAAACACCACAUUUCCAGCCUCUUUUGCAGCUCAGUAUGGACCUGUGACUGAGUCUUGGCCAAUGAGAUGUAAACAGAAGUGAUGUGUUUGUCUUCUAGAUCAUUCCUUCAGGAACAGGAUGUACCCACCAUCACCUCUUCUCCCCUUCCCACUGGCUGGAAGGUAAAAGUUAUGGCAGGAGCUGAAGCAGCCAUUUUAGAGCAGGAGGUGGAAUCACAUGCAGCAAGAUGGAAGAAAUCUGGAUCUCCAACGAGACAGAAGAAGCCUGGAUUUCCAAAACCACAGAACCAACCUCCCAGCCCUGAACAAUCUACUUCGAUAUUUAUGUAAGAGAAGUACACUUUGUUAGAAACACCAUUAUUUUGGCCUUUAGUAUAGUAGCCAAAUCUGUAUUCCAACCCAUAUUGAUCCCAGCCAUCUUUUUUCCUGCUCCUAGUUACUUCUAUCCUGUUCUAAGCUCCAUUCCAUCUGGCUGGUCAACCUCUGACAUUUUACCACCAUGAUCCACUGUCAAAAUUUCCCCAGUCACUCUCCCUGACUGCAGCUUAUAUCAAUCCCCCAUCUAACUCACCUCCCCAUCCCAUUCUCAAUUCUCCACCACGGCCUGUUGCUAGACAAUCUGUGAUCUCCAACUCUGAAAAGAACCCAUAAAAAGAAAACAACAAAUGCUGACAAUGUUUCUUCAGCAACUAUCAUGUGCCAGGUUCUGUUCUAAUUACAUAGUAAGGUAAUGUCUAAACAAAUUACUUCUCAUCUUAACCUUUCAACAACCUUCGAGGUAAGUAGUUUUAUUCCCUCUAUCUUGGAGAUGAGGAGUCUGAAGCACAGAGAGAUGAGGGAAUGCCCUUACCACUUAUCUGAC